UUCGACCUGGGAAGCCAGGAACCUAAGCAAACAUCUGGCUGCUGGGCUUUCGUUUGCUUUCCCUGAAAUCCAACAGACCCACCAAGUCACUAGCAAACACUGACAGCCGGUCAUGCUGGUCCUGGCUUAUAAAUCUCUUUGACUGCUGACCCAGUACAGGUGUUUUUCAGUCUCUUUUUGGUCUGCUUUCUGGGGAAGUGUUCCCCAGCCUCACCCUGAGCAAAUGUUCCUGAUGCAGGACGCUGCAAGCCUGUGUGUAAUGUCCUGGGCAACGACCGGGGAAGAGGAAAGCUAUUUAAAGGGCUGUUCAACCACUUGGUGCGUGCAGCCAGCCCGGUCAGCCCAGCCUUCAUAAUUCCCAUCGCCUGGCUGUCACUGGUAAUAAGAGGAGACGUCCGUGAUAUGACUUACUAGGCUGAUCUUUAAAAGCUGUGACGGCCCCCUCUAAUUUUAGCCUCAGCCAACUCGGAGAGCACGAGGGGACCAUUAAUCUUACGGAGACUCGAAGCCGGUGGGGAAAACUCUGGAUUGGGGGACAGAAACCAGGUGUGGAUUUUCGUCUUACGCCUUGAUUGCCCUGAGAGUAGCCGUCCACCUUUGCCAGGGCCCCUCCGUCCACGAGGAAUAAUAAGCAUCUGGCAGGACCCCUGAGAUCAAAUGAGAUCCCUGCGAAGGCAGAGGGUAACGUGUCAAAUGAUUCAUGGCACUUCGGUGACUUGGAGAUUAUCAACCCCUGCUAGGGCAGCCGCUGAGCUCCAGGUCGCUCCAUUCAUUCAUCAGGGAUCCCUUCCUGAACUGAGUAAGUAUGGCCUUUGGAAGCUCUUUAAAAAGCUCUUCAAAAGCUCUCAACCAUGUCAUGGAGAGGCUCCAGUCAUGACUAGGGAAACCUGUCUUGCAUGCGAUCAAUAUUUAAGGCAGCAGUACCUUGAAUCCAGAGUCUUUUUCACAGCGAUUCAUUCAUUCAGCAGAUGUUUAUGACACCCUGUUACAGGCCAGGCUGAGGGGCUGGGGAUGUUCCACUGAAGGUGGCAGCCUCUGGCCCCCGUGGGAUCUUACAUCCUUUAGAAGGAGACCAGAAAGUAGUGCAUUCAGAGAGACCCUUAGAAUCAGCACUAGUUUUAUUUUGAUUCUCAGGUCAGCCAGUCAGGAAUCUUUGCCCUUUCGGACAGAGCUCACCCCCAAUGCGAUACACCAAGCCUUUCUUAAAGCUGUAUCUGUCCAUUUAUAGAUCAGCUUUGCUCAAAAAAAUUGUUUGAGCUAUAGAUACGGUGUUUAAGGAAGAUUAUCACAAAGGAAAACCCCACUGUGCUAUGUUCCUAUUUUCCAGUGGAAGCAGUGAUUUAACCUAUUUGGGUGGACGAUUUUCUCCUCUUCCUUUCUGGCAACACUUCUGCCCUGAAUUGGAAAUGCUUUCCUUGGCCCCCCAAUUGCCAGUAGAGGGCACACGCAGCUUUUGUUGGAGACCAUUCCUGACAGUGCCCAUUUAUACAGCAAGGAAUUUAAAUUGCAUUGAACCUUCCAAAACAAGAAGCUUUUCCUUUUAUGCUCUCUAUUUAUGAGGCUGCUAGAGAAAAAGGAAAGGGAAUUCAGCCUGUUUUUCUUUAACAAAAAAAAAAUAUAUAAUUGUUUUUAUAGAUACAUUAAAAAAUUUCCCUGUUAGGUCUAUACACAAAAUGCAAAUUUUAAUAAACCACACAGAGACUCUCGGACAGAUUAGCAUAAGAAACGUUAAACAUUAGAUGAUAGGGUUAACUCACUAUGAUCUAUUUCCCGUUUAUUCACAGAAGGAAAAAGAAGUUUUUGUGCUUUUGCAAAAUGCAGUUUUUUAAUAUUUAAAAAAGGAAGAGCUCUUCCUGUGGUUUCUGACCAAACCAUGAAAUGUCUUUCAUUUUAUUUUGAUAGUGUCUGAUGAAUUCAGGGAAAGACCGGGGGUUGAAUUUCCAACCCUCCACAAAUAAUCCGUGAAUAUUGCCUUGGUUCUGACCUCAGCGGGGAGGACCAGGAAGUAUUUCCUUUCUCGUCUCUCUCUCCGCCUCAGAGGAAAACUCUGGAAUAUUUAAAGAGAAGAGAGGUUAAAGAACCGCCAGCACUAGUUCGGCUGCUCUUCAGAAAGAUCAGGCAUCUCCUUGGCCGACCACCCGAUUGACUGGCACUCACCUUAAGAGCAGGGACUUAAGUACUCCACAGGCAAAAAGAGGAGAAAGAUGUUUCUGGAAGGAGGGUGAGCUGUUAGUUUAUCACUCCUUUUAUUCUCAAGGUCAAUUUCUGUCCCCUUUUCACUGUCUUCCAAUAUUUGCUAAAUGCCGUGGAAAUUCCAGGUAUUUGAUGUAUCCCUUGCCUUCAUGGAAUUUGCAAUCUUACUUGUGAUUAAGAUUCACAAAGUGAAACACCAAAACCCUUUUUUUUUUUUUUUUUUAGGGCUGCAAGAGCGGCAUAUGGAGGUUCCCAGGCUAGGGAUCGAAUCAGAGCUGUAGCCGCCGGCCUGAACCACAGCCACAGCCACACAGGAUCCAAACCUACACCACAGGUCGCAGCAGUGCUGGAUCCUCGAUUCACUGAGCAAGGCUGGGGAUAGAAACUGCAUCUUCACGGACACUAGCUGGAUUCAUUUCCACGUCGCCACAACAGGAACUCCAAAACCUCCUAUUUUAUAGAUGUGGAAAUUGAGACUGUGAGCGGGGACAAGGAGCUCCACCUUUCCAUGCCUGUGAUUUUAAGUUUCCACUGGGACGUGAAUUAGGUGGCUAAGAGGGCCAACAUUUCACGAUUUCUGAAUUACAGGACAAUAGUUGUUAAAACAGAAUUCUCUCAGAGGUGCCAUCUAAGUUAAUUCCAUUUUAAGUUUCAGGUGAAAGUGGCUCAAUCCCCUGUCCUUCACACAGCCUGUGCUUCCUCUAAUGCAUCAGGGAAUUUGGAGGGGCAGUGACUUGUAUUCCGGCUGGUGGCCCCUGGAUCUGAGCUCCUGCUGGCCCUGAGUUCCAGUUUGUGAAUCAUCUCACUUUAAGCAUAUGCUGAUCCUUUUCUGUGUCAACGACCCCUGAUCAGACUCAUCCUGAUCCCUUCAUUCUCUGAAAUUCCACUGGCCCUAAAAUAUGUGAGUAGUGACUGAACUAAAGCUUCAAGACAAUGGAAGGGGUUCAUGCCCAGAGCUGCAGUAACUUAAAAUACUGGGCACCCUUACCUUGGGGGGGAUUUUUCAGAGAUUCAAUUUCUCCAAUGGCCCCUCGCCAUGUUGUUCUGCUGUCUCUCCUCCCUUCUCUGGUCUCCAGCCCCCUCCUCACUGGAUUCUCACCUCCUUUCCCAAACACUCGACCCAUCUGUCCAUUCCACUGGCUUCUUUAAGUCCAGAGCCCACGCCGGGGCUUCACUUCCUUCAAGCCUUCAAAGUGUUUUCCUUAAAAGGAACUUUGGUGACUACAUUUAGAAUUACAAAAUGCAUACUUUUUACUAAAUUGGGGACUUGGGCUCUGAGUUUCCUAGUGCCCAAAGCAAAGAGGAGACAUAUCCAUUACAAGGCUCAUUGUGCUUAUAAAUUCAAAAUAGAGCCGCGGUUGUUUGGCAUAAGCACGACUUUUUUCUGGCUCUGAAAACUCUCCUGCGGUUCAUGAUCGGGGGGCGGAGGGUGGGGGGAAUAGUGCAGGUAUUACCCCCUUACCUGCCUCUACUGAAGUGGACCUAGCUCAACUAGUGACUUUUUGCAAGUUUAAGUCCACUAGAAGAAUAGCAUUAACUCCAUACACUGAAAGCAUUUAUUGAGUGCCAGGAAUGGCUCCAAGUGCUGAAUAGAGAGGAACUUCAGACAGGCGGUCCCUGACCUUGGAGCUCACAGCCGAGGUUGGCACGGGCAAGCAGGAGUCAGCUUUGUUGGGUAAUGUGGUAUCCGUGGGAAAACACAGGAGGGCCUAGAUUAAUCUUGAAGGAUUGGCAAAGGCUUCCUGGAGGAAGUCGUACCUAAGAUGAGGCUUAAAAGGGAAGUAGGAUUAAUCAGAGCAAAAAGGAGGGACACAAGUUCCAGGCAGAGAGAAGAGCCUGGAUGAAAACGCCUGGAGGUGAGAGGGACAAUACACAGGGUUAGGACUGUAGCAGAGGCUGUCCUGUGGCACCCGGAUCCCCUUCUCUGAGACAGCGCCCCCCACCACCACUGUGUCAGCUGCUAAGGGCUCAGCAGCCCCCUUCCCAGGGGAAUUGUUUUUAGCUGAGAGGAGGCUCCACCUCAUCUGGGAAGUUUCAGGCCACCGCCCCCGCCAGCACCCCAGGGCGGCCAAUGAAUGACUGAUACAGGGCUUCCAAAGGCUGGUCCUCUUGCCUCAAGGGGGAGGGAGUCACACCGGGCAGUUUAUGCUCCAGCGCCAGCCCCCUCGUGGAUCAGGCCAAGGCUGGGUCUCCCCUGAGACCAUCCUGGUGCAGCAUCAGCCUCCCGCUAUGACAAGCGCUCCCUCAAAAAUGGCAUGUUCCCUAACCCCUGUCUUGGGCUGUGUUUCUGGAGAACCUGAGCUAAGACAGCAAUAGGGGGAAAUGGCCAAGAUCGAAAUCUCUAGAUGCGCUAGGUCCAAAUUCGAGCCCCAUCCACUAGCAAGUUAGGGCUCUACUGACUUAAGUUACUACUGUUUACAACAAAAAAUUUUAUAUAUACCCAUUUAGGUUUCUGAUGACUAGGAUCACCGUUCAUAAAACUUAACCCUGACCUAGUCCAACUUCCUGCACUUGUAAACAAGGACACCAAAGACCCAGCAAAUUAUGACAUUUGUGUAAAAUGCCUCUGAGCCUCAAUCUCUUUGGAAAGUGGGCAUAAUGGAGUUCCUGCUGUGGCUCAGUGGGUUAAGACCCUGACAUGGUGUCUGUGAGGAUGCAAGUUUGAUCCCUGGCCUCACUCAGUGGGUUAAGGAUCCGGCAUUGCUGUGAGCUGUGGUGCAGGUCGCAGACAUGGCUGUGAUCCAGCAUCGCUGUGACUGUGGCUGUGGCUGGCAGCUGCAGCUCCGAUUUGCCCCCUAGCCUGCGAACUUCCCUAUGUCAUGGGUGCCACC
Molecule: long non-coding RNA, 5024 nt
Filed under: Sus scrofa (pig)
Lineage: Eukaryota; Metazoa; Chordata; Mammalia; Artiodactyla; Suidae
Description: lncRNA (ENSSSCG00000053238.1)
Source: RNAcentral